RNAcentral lists this long non-coding RNA (524 nucleotides) under Prunus persica (peach). Its description in RNAcentral is "long non-coding RNA (PPER_LNC001264)". Lineage: Eukaryota; Viridiplantae; Streptophyta; Magnoliopsida; Rosales; Rosaceae. The record is from RNAcentral.
AUAAACCUUGCCUAAGUUUGUCGUACAGAAGCAUAGAAAAUCUAUAGACACCUAUGGUCAAAACUGAUACAUAUAUUGCCAUUUAUAGACCAAGUUAAUCCAAUGAGGAAGUAAGCUGAUAUAGUACAAAAAUAAACUGUAUUGCCAUUUAUGUCACAACACCUACAAAUCUUAGUAGAAUAACACUUGGUUCCACUUGAAAUUUGUAGCAGAAUACCUACAACUCAAUAGAAUAACACUUGGUUCCACUUGAAAUUUGUAACACAAUACCUACAACUCAAGAAAUAUAAAAUGAUGUGAUUAGCCUAUAUGGUAGAUUGCAGAAUUAAUGAUAAGAGUUGAUCAAUAGGACUUGCAGAAUUAAUGAUAAGAGUUGAUCAAUAGGACUUGUGUUAACUGUGAGAAAUUAAUUUUCAAGCACAUACAUAGGUUAAAAUCAAGUUUGUAACAAAUUAUUAAAAAUGGUAUAAUAGCAGUUGGCUAUGACCAAAUUUAAAAGAAAAAUCCUUAAAAAAGGAUGAAAU